Molecule: long non-coding RNA, 659 nt
Organism: Folsomia candida
Lineage: Eukaryota; Metazoa; Arthropoda; Collembola; Entomobryomorpha; Isotomidae
Exons: 3
Source: RefSeq, a predicted model, not a curated record
UUAAUCCACCUCGGAACGAUGAAAGAUCUACUCUAGGCACCCAUUGAGCUGGAUGGAUGAAGGGACGACCCUCUCUUUUCUUUGCAAAUGUUACCUUUCGGCUUUUUGCUUUCAUUCCUGGUUGUUGCUGGUUGGCUGGUCAAAUCCACCCAAGCGAGCAAAUGAGGGUCCAUUUAGAGCAAUUCAAUUUCUAAAUAGCAAAAGCAAGGCUAUUCCACUCAGCCUUUUGUGUAAUAAUGGACCAAAAACACGACUUUUUGCUUAUUUAUUUCUCCUCCCGAGCUAAAUAGGUAGAUAAAACGAACACAAACAAGGGCCUGCACCUUUCGGCAAAGUGUAUCGUGUCGUGUCAUGUCAAGUCGAUCAGGCAGCAAAAGCAGGAGAUGAUGAUGAACUGAAGAUGAAUGAAGUGUGGAGGCAGUCAAUGAUUCCAGAAAGGAAAUCCAGUCCAGGGAAGAAGAAGGACGUGGGAGAAAGUUGGCUCAAAGUUUUGUGGGACUGCAUCGCAUCGUCCCUUCAGUUGACAUAUCAAUCUGGUGGCCAAAAUCUCCUCGUCCUGACUGAUGACUGACCCUUCAGAAGAAGAAGAGCAGCAGCGUGGGUAACGUGAUGUAACGUAACGUGACCAUCCAACCAUUUCCGUUUAAGUAGACGAAAAG